This 987-nucleotide long non-coding RNA is filed under the name Homo sapiens (human). Its description in RNAcentral is "HSALNT0335631". The record is from RNAcentral. Lineage: Eukaryota; Metazoa; Chordata; Mammalia; Primates; Hominidae.
AAGCUAAGAAGCAAACUUGGACCUCUAGAACAAAUUUCGCGAGACCUUUAUUACAGGGCCUCAGCAACCGGAUGAUACCGCGAGAGAGGACGCCUGACGUAAUUAAAGUGCGCGAACGGAAGUGGCGCGGAACAUGACGGAAAAUCAGUACGGUUGGUCCCUUAAGGACCAGCGGGAAAGAUAAAAGCUGGGGUUUAGUCUGUGCUGCGUGAAAUAUGUCUUGGCCUCACUUCCUGUCCUCUGAGCUGCCUGCAGCCGGGCGAGGUGGUGUUGAACUGUGUUUUUUGUGACGAAGCUUACUUUUAAGUUUCAUCCCUAAACUAAGUUGACCUGUUUCUUUAAGACGGCUUGCAAAAUGUGUUUUCCUCAAUGUGGGAUAUGGAAAGAAGCAGUUGCUCCUGUUAUUUUGAGCUAGUACCUGACGCUAUGAGAAAUUCUAAAAGAGCGAAUCAGAUCAUGCAACAUGAAUAACUAUGGAGGCUGAGUGAUCAAGAACAGAAGUUAAUAUUUUGGUGUUACAAACUUUCCACGGAUUAGGUGAAUAAGAUAUUUAUAAUUUGGUGUGUUCAUCUCAAGUUAUGGAUUACGAGUGCGGGGCACUAGUGCUUUAGAUUGGUAAAUGAAUCAUCAACAGUCGCCUUGAAAAUCGAAUAUUUUUGUCACCAUUUUCAGGACAUGAGAAAACACGCUGAGAGUUUAAAGCAAUUAUGGUCCUCACAAACUAGAUCAUUCUGUCCCCAAGAUGUUUUUGCCCCCUGUGGAGGUGUUAUUGCCUCCAUUGAGAAUGCAUGUACUAGCAGUUUCAUUUUUCACAUGACACAUCACAAAGUACAACCGAGAGCAUCUCUUGGUAGCCAUCUCAGAAGAGCAGUUAAACAUUCUUUUUCAAAAGCCCUUGUGUACUCCUACUUCCAUAAAAAAACUAUAAAACAGCCUCAGGCAGGUCCUUCAGGAGGUAUUCCAGAAGAAGGCAUUGUUAUCAUAAGA